CCUGCCAUUUUCGUUUUAGGACAUCAGUCAAACAUUGACCCAUGGACCUUGGACUGAAGGCCACUUGGCAAGAGGUCAUUGGAGAGUUUUAGUGGACUGUCCACCUACUAAAUUAGCCCUCAAAGUGGGCACCAUAUUUAGAUUGAGAGUGCGCCCCAUGUGGAUAAGGAUAGAGUCCCAUGAGAUGAGGACUCUGAUCC
This 200-nucleotide long non-coding RNA is filed under the name Elaeis guineensis (African oil palm). Its description in RNAcentral is "long non-coding RNA (EGUI_LNC063222)". The record is from RNAcentral. Lineage: Eukaryota; Viridiplantae; Streptophyta; Magnoliopsida; Arecales; Arecaceae.